UACAGAGGGUGCAAGCGUUAAUCGGAAUUACUGGGCGUAGGUGGCUUGAUAAGUCAGAUGUGAAAUCCCCGGGCUUAACCUGGGAACUGCAUCUGAUACUGUUAGGCUAGAAUAGGUGAGAGGAAGGUAGAAUUCCAGGUGUAGCGGUGAAAUGCGUAGAGAUCUGGAGGAAUACCGAUGGCGAAGGCAGCCUUCUGGCAUCAUAUUGACACUGAGGUUCGAAAGCGUGGGUAGCAAACAGG
This 242-nucleotide ribosomal RNA is filed under the name uncultured Psychrobacter sp. RNAcentral describes it as "partial 16S ribosomal RNA". It matches the Rfam family "Bacterial small subunit ribosomal RNA", at positions 524 to 776 of the family's 1533-position model. The record is from RNAcentral. Lineage: Bacteria; Pseudomonadati; Pseudomonadota; Gammaproteobacteria; Moraxellales; Moraxellaceae.